Molecule: transfer RNA, 72 nt
Filed under: Bos taurus (domestic cattle)
Lineage: Eukaryota; Metazoa; Chordata; Mammalia; Artiodactyla; Bovidae
Also listed under: 6 other names
Rfam family: tRNA
About the family: Transfer RNA (tRNA) molecules are approximately 80 nucleotides in length. Their secondary structure includes four short double-helical elements and three loops (D, anti-codon, and T loops). Further hydrogen bonds mediate the characteristic L-shaped molecular structure. tRNAs have two regions of fundamental functional importance: the anti-codon, which is responsible for specific mRNA codon recognition, and the 3' end, to which the tRNAs corresponding amino acid is attached (by aminoacyl-tRNA synthetases). tRNAs cope with the degeneracy of the genetic code in two manners: having more than one tRNA (with a specific anti-codon) for a particular amino acid; and 'wobble' base-pairing, i.e. permitting non-standard base-pairing at the 3rd anti-codon position.
Source: Rfam by way of RNAcentral
UCCCUGGUGGCUCAGACAGUAAAGAAUCUGCCUGCAGUGCAGGAGACCCAGGUUCGAUCCCUGGGUUGGGAA